This 378-nucleotide unclassified non-coding RNA is filed under the name uncultured Actinomycetes bacterium. RNAcentral describes it as "uncultured actinobacterium contains 16S-23S intergenic spacer region". The record is from RNAcentral. Lineage: Bacteria; Bacillati; Actinomycetota; Actinomycetes.
UCCGAGUUGACCCCGGCAGUCUCCCACGAGUCCCCGCCAUUACGCGCUGGCAACAUAGGAUAAGGGUUGCGCUCGUUGCGGGACUUAACCCAACACCUCACGGCACGAGCUGACGACAGCCAUGCACCACCUGUACACAGGCCCCGAAGGGCUGCCGUAUUUCUACGACAUUCCUGUGCAUGUCAAGCCCAGGUAAGGUUCUUCGCGUUGCGUCGAAUUAAACCACAUGCUCCGCUGCCUGUGCGGGCCCCCGUCAGUUCCUUUGAGUUUUAGCCUUGCGGCCGUACUCCCCAGGCGGGGCGCUUAAUGCGUUAGCUACGGCGCGGAAUCCGUGGAAGAACCCCACACCUAGCGCCCAACGUUUACGGCGUGGACUAC